Molecule: RNase P RNA, 353 nt
Filed under: Sphingobacteriia bacterium
Lineage: Bacteria; Pseudomonadati; Bacteroidota; Sphingobacteriia
Description: RNase P RNA component class A
Rfam family: Bacterial RNase P class A
About the family: Ribonuclease P (RNase P) is a ubiquitous endoribonuclease, found in archaea, bacteria and eukarya as well as chloroplasts and mitochondria. Its best characterised activity is the generation of mature 5'-ends of tRNAs by cleaving the 5'-leader elements of precursor-tRNAs.
Source: RNAcentral
CUAUAAACCCGAGCCAUCGCUUCUUGCCAAGGUAGGAAGAGGAAAGUCCGGACAGUGUAGAGCAACCCACCGGUUAAGAGCCGGCUCCUGUAAAAAGGAAAGAGAGAGUGCCACAGAAAAUAACAGUCGCAAUUUAAAACUGCGGUAAAGGUGAAAAUGUGAGGUAAGAGCUCACGGCGGCAAGUAGUAAUACUUGUUGUGGGUAAACCUUGGGUACUGUAAUGCCAUGUAAAGGAUUGUUUGAGGGCUGCUCGUCCGAGAUCCAGGGUAGGCAGCAAGAUCUGCUUAGUAAUAAGUAGGCUAGAUAAAUGAUGGAGUUGAAACAGAAUCCGGCUUAUGAGGUUUAUGGUUUU